CACCCCCACGUCAAUAGUCACUACAGUCCCAUUAGUUUUCUUUAUAGCCUCGUUUGAAUGUUGCGGUUGUGCACAUUUGUACGGAAUGGGGUGAUUUUAUGUUAGCUGUCAAUGAAAUAGCAAGGAAAGCUAGGAAGAGCAUAAAAAAGACCUGCUGAUAUUCUCAACAUUUACAGACAUUCUUACCAUAAUUCAGUUCUCUUCUAGCAAUUGACAGUGGAAUAAAAGACAACAUUUCCACCACGGCUGAUUGUUGAGGGUCUUCAUGCAAUCAUAGUGACAGAUAGGGAUGGGUGUCCCAGUUAUUAAAGAUUGUGCAGUUUAACCGGUUACCGUUGGUGAUCAGUUUCAUCGCAAGCAGUAGUGCCAACACAGGUUUGAUUAUCCGUCUGGAGAAGGAGCUUGUACCACUAAUCGAAGAGCUAUGGCAGGUAGUGGAGGUUGCUUACGAGUGUAUCACCUUGACAGCAAUGGGACUAUUCUGUGACGGAGUCAGUCAUGAAAAAGGAUCUACAUGAAACUAUUACAUAUUUUUAAUAUCUCUAUCAUGCACACGCACCCACACAUACAGAGAGCUCUGUUGCUGAAAGAUACAGUACAUGUUAGUGUCAUGAUGCUGUGUUUGUUGCCUUAAUUUUCUAGUACUUGAAUGUAACCCCUUCCUUUCUCAUGUUUGUAAUUAAUAAACUGACUCAUCUGUUGCUCAUUUCUCUAUUAAAAUAAA
Molecule: long non-coding RNA, 724 nt
Organism: Oncorhynchus gorbuscha (pink salmon)
Lineage: Eukaryota; Metazoa; Chordata; Actinopteri; Salmoniformes; Salmonidae
Exons: 4
Source: RefSeq, a predicted model, not a curated record